CGGGGGACGCCGGAUCCUGGGCUGUGUCCCGGCGCCCAGUGCUCCGGGGCCUGUGCUGUUGGAUUCGCGCUCCGGGUGGCACAGCCCCCU
Molecule: microRNA precursor, 90 nt
Filed under: Canis lupus familiaris (dog)
Lineage: Eukaryota; Metazoa; Chordata; Mammalia; Carnivora; Canidae
Also listed under: 1 other name
Description: mir-8799 microRNA precursor family
Rfam family: mir-8799 microRNA precursor family
Source: Rfam by way of RNAcentral